RNAcentral lists this long non-coding RNA (1209 nucleotides) under Homo sapiens (human). RNAcentral describes it as "long non-coding RNA NONHSAT172842.1". Lineage: Eukaryota; Metazoa; Chordata; Mammalia; Primates; Hominidae. The record is from RNAcentral.
CCAGAACCCCCUGCAGGUCGGGGCUGAGCUCCAGUCCCGCUUCUUUGCCUCCCAGGGCUGCGCCCAGAGUCCAUUCCAGGCCGCGCCGGCGCCCCCGCCCACGCCCCAGGCCCCGGCGGCCGAGCCCCUCCAGGUGGACUUGCUCCCGGUGCUCGCCGCCGCCCAGGAGUCCGCCCGGCAGCAGCGGCAGCAGUAGCAGCCCCUCCCACAGCUGUGGGCUCCCUCUCGGGGGCGGAGGGGGUGCCUGUGAGCUCUCAGCCACUUCCCUCCCAACCCUGGUGAGCUCCAAGUUGGUUGCGGGGGAGAGGGGAGAAUGGAGUAGAGUCCCUUGGUACAAGCUCCUCUCCCCCCUCUUUUCCCACCAACUCCUAUUUCCCUACCAACCAAGGAGCCUCCAGAAGGAAAGGAGGAAGAAAUGUUUUCUUAGGGGAAUUCGCUAGGUUUUAACGAUUUGUUUCUCCUGCUCCUCUUCUGUCAGACCUGACCCCACACAAACCUGUCCCCUCGGUUGUGUUGAAGUCCCCUGGACAGUGGGCAGGGGUGGCAGAGGACACGAGCAGCCACUGCCCGUACCCCCUCUCCUCUCUGUAAGCCCAUGCCCUGUCUUCCCAGGGACUUGUGAGCCUCUUCCCUCGACGGUCCUCUUCUCUCCUUCCAGUCCUCUCCCCCUGCUGUCUGCAGCCCCUCCCCGGGGAGUUGGUGCUUUCUUUUCCUUUUUUUUUUUUUUCCAGGGGGAGGGAGGAGAGGAAGGAGGGGGAUCAGAGCUGUCCCAAAGAGGGAAAGCGGUGAGGUUUGAGGAGGGGCAGAAGCAGGGCCGGCAAAGGUUGUACCUUCAUAAGGUGGUAUGGGGGGUUGGGGUCAGGCCCUGAACAUCGUCCUACUUGAGAAUCUGUCAGGGGAAAAAGUCAAGGGGAGCAGGAGGAAGAGCCAGGAGGGCCAGAGGCAGAGAAGAGAUGGAGUCUUAGGGGCCAGGGUGAGCGAGGGGUCCAGGGCCUAGAGGUGCUUCCUGGGGGCGGGGGAAUGCAGCCAGUGUCCCCCUCCCCUCUUCCACCCCAGCUCCAGCCCUGGUCUUGUCUUUUCAUCCCUCUUCCCCACGACAGAAGAAGUUGUGGCCCUGGCCAUGUCAUCGUGUUCCUGUGUCCCCUGCAUGUACCCCACCCUCCACCCCUUCCUUUUGCGCGGACCCCAUUACAAUAAAUUUUAAAUAAA